AGUGCAUGUGGUGGAUGCCUUGGCAGUCAGAGGCGAUGAAAGACGUGAUAGCCUGCGAAAAGCUCCGGGGAGGCGGCAAAUAUCCUUUGAUCCGGAGAUGUCUGAAUGGGGGAACCCACCUACUUUAAGGUAGGUAUUGCAACAUGAAUACAUAGUGUUGCAAGGCGAACGAGGGGAAGUGAAACAUCUCAGUACCCUUAGGAAAGAAAUCAAUUGAGAUUCCCUCAGUAGCGGCGAGCGAACGGGGAUCAGCCCAUUAAGUUAUGUGUGUUUUAGUGGAACGCUCUGGGAAGUGCGAACGUAGAGGGUGAUAUUCCCGCACACGAAAGGGCACACAUAAUGAUGACGAGUAGGGCGAGGCACGUGAAACCUUGUCUGAAUAUGGGGGGACCAUCCUCCAAGGCUAAAUACUCCUGACUGACCGAUAGUGAACCAGUACCGUGAGGGAAAGGCGAAAAGAACCCCUGUGAGGGGAGUGAAAUAGAUCCUGAAACCGCAUGCAUACAAGCAGUGGGAGCACCUUCGUGGUGUGACUGCGUACCUUUUGUAUAAUGGGUCAGCGACUUAUAUUCAGUAGCGAGGUUAACCGUAUAGGGGAGCCGUAGAGAAAUCGAGUCUUAAUAGGGCGUUUAGUUGCUGGGUAUAGACCCGAAACCAGGCGAUCUAUCCAUGAGCAGGUUGAAGGUUGGGUAACACUAACUGGAGGACCGAACCCACUGUCGUUGAAAAGCCAGGGGAUGACUUGUGGAUAGGGGUGAAAGGCUAAUCAAGCCUGGUGAUAGCUGGUUCUCCCCGAAAGCUAUUUAGGUAGCGCCUCGGACGAAUACCAUAGGGGGUAGAGCACUGUUUCGGCUAGGGGGUCAUCCCGACUUACCAAACCGAUGCAAACUCCGAAUACCUAUGAGUACUAUCCGGGAGACAGACUGCGGGUGCUAACGUCCGUAGUCAAGAGGAAAACAAUCCAGACCGCCAGCUAAGGCCCCAAAAUCAUAGUUAAGUGGGAAACGAUGUGGGAAGGCAUAGACAGCUAGGAGGUUGGCUUAGAAGCAGCCACCCUUUAAAGAAAGCGUAAUAGCUCACUAGUCGAGUCGGCCUGCGCGGAAGAUGUAACGGGGCUAAAACUAUGUGCCGAAGCUGCGGAUGUAUACUUUGUAUACGUGGUAGGGGAGCGUUCUGUAAGCCGAUGAAGGUGUGUUGAGAAGCAUGCUGGAGGUAUCAGAGUGCGAAUGCUGACGUGAGUAACGACAAAACGGGUGAAAAACCCGUUCGCCGAAAGACCAAGGGUUCCAGUCCAACGUUAAUCGGGCUGGGUGAGUCGACCCCUAAGGCGAGGCCGAAAGGCGUAGUCGAUGGGAAAAUGGUUAAUAUUCCAUUACUUCUGUGUAAUGCGAUGAGAGGACGGAGAAGGCUAAAUCAGCCUGGCGUUGGUUGUCCAGGUGAAAGGAUGUAGGCAUGUAUCUUAGGCAAAUCCGGGGUACUCUAUGCUGAGAUCUGAUAGCAAGCUGUACUUGUACAGCGAAGUGGUUGAUGCCAUGCUUCCAGGAAAAGUCUCUAAGCUUCAGUUACACAGGAAUCGUACCCGAAACCGACACAGGUGGUCAGGUCGAGUAGACCAAGGCGCUUGAGAGAACUCUGCUGAAGGAACUAGGCAAAAUGGUACCGUAACUUCGGGAGAAGGUACGCUGUUGUUGGUGAUGGAACUCGCUUCCUGAGCUGACGACAGCCGCAGAAACCAGGCCGCUGCAACUGUUUAUUAAAAACAUAGCACUCUGCAAACACGAAAGUGGACGUAUAGGGUGUGAUGCCUGCCCGGUGCUGGAAGGUUAAUUGAUGGGGUUAGCGUAAGCGAAGCUCUUGAUCGAAGCCCCAGUAAACGGCGGCCGUAACUAUAACGGUCCUAAGGUAGCGAAAUUCCUUGUCGGGUAAGUUCCGACCUGCACGAAUGGCAUAAUGAUGGCGGCGCUGUCUCCAGCAGAGGCUCAGUGAAAUCGAAAUCGCUGUGAAGAUGCAGUGUACCCGCGGCUAGACGGAAAGACCCCGUGAACCUUUACUGCAGCUUGACACUGAACUUUGACCUUACUUGUGUAGGAUAGGUGGGAGGCUUUGAAGCUGGAACGCUAGUUCCAGUGGAGCCGUCCUUGAAAUACCACCCUGGUAAUGUUGAGGUUCUAACUCUGUCCCGUGAUCCGGGACGAGGACCGUGUCUGGUGGGUAGUUUGACUGGGGCGGUCUCCUCCUAAAGAGUAACGGAGGAGUACGAAGGUGCGCUCAGCGUGGUCGGAAAUCACGCGUAGAGUAUAAAGGCAAAAGCGCGCUUAACUGCGAGACCCACAAGUCGAGCAGGUACGAAAGUAGGUCUUAGUGAUCCGGUGGUUCUGUAUGGAAGGGCCAUCGCUCAACGGAUAAAAGGUACUCUGGGGAUAACAGGCUGAUACCGCCCAAGAGUUCAUAUCGACGGCGGUGUUUGGCACCUCGAUGUCGGCUCAUCUCAUCCUGGGGCUGAAGCAGGUCCCAAGGGUAUGGCUGUUCGCCAUUUAAAGAGGUACGCGAGCUGGGUUUAGAACGUCGUGAGACAGUUCGGUCCCUAUCUACCGUGGGCGCUGGAAAUUUGAGAGGAUCUGCUCCUAGUACGAGAGGACCAGAGUGGACGAACCUCUGGUGUACCGGUUGUGACGCCAGUCGCAUCGCCGGGUAGCUAUGUUCGGAAGGGAUAACCGCUGAAAGCAUCUAAGCGGGAAGCCUACCUCAAGAUAAGAUUUCCCUAGGACUUUAUGUCCUCUAAAGAGCCGUUCGAGACUAGGACGUUGAUAGGUUGGAUGUGGAAGCAUAGUGAUAUGUGAAGCUGACCAAUACUAAUUGCUCGUGAGGCUUGACU
RNAcentral lists this ribosomal RNA (2875 nucleotides) under Acinetobacter baumannii AB4857. RNAcentral describes it as "bacterial LSU rRNA". It matches the Rfam family "Bacterial large subunit ribosomal RNA". Lineage: Bacteria; Pseudomonadati; Pseudomonadota; Gammaproteobacteria; Moraxellales; Moraxellaceae. The record is from RNAcentral.